GGGCUUAUAGUUCAAUGGUUAGAACGUACCGCUCAUAACGGUCAUGGUUGUAGGUUCAAAUCCUACUAAGCCUAA
RNAcentral lists this transfer RNA (75 nucleotides) under Heterosigma akashiwo. RNAcentral's name for it is "tRNA-Met". It matches the Rfam family "tRNA". Rfam says of the family: Transfer RNA (tRNA) molecules are approximately 80 nucleotides in length. Their secondary structure includes four short double-helical elements and three loops (D, anti-codon, and T loops). Lineage: Eukaryota; Raphidophyceae; Chattonellales; Chattonellaceae. The record is from RNAcentral.